This 220-nucleotide long non-coding RNA is filed under the name Panax ginseng (ginseng). RNAcentral describes it as "long non-coding RNA (PGIN_LNC013704)". Lineage: Eukaryota; Viridiplantae; Streptophyta; Magnoliopsida; Apiales; Araliaceae. The record is from RNAcentral.
CCUUACCUUAGAAGAAAACUGGAUACUGGAAUAGUGAGGUAGCAGACUUCUCUUUUUCUUUCUCUCUAUAAUUUCUCUCUAUAAUAAUUGCUCUAUAGCUUUAGUGAAUUGGUAAAAAAUAAUGAAAAAAUGAGCUUCUAUUUAUAGGAAAAUAUAGUUUCGAUAAUUGCACGUUUUGGGGCUCGAAAUAUUACAGUAUAAUAUCUUCCUCUUUUUCUUC